AUGGAGGACCUGGAAGGAUUGAUGAGGGGGUUGAACUUGUCGGCAGCAAAGAAGAAAGGGUUGAAGAUUGGAGAAGCUCAGAAGGGGAAGGCGGUCGACUGGGCGGCUGAUGACCCGCAAGUGGUGGGGAAACUGUUCUCGGAGAAGCCCGCCCAUGCAAGAUUCGUGGGACAAACCCUGGGAAGAAUCUGGUGUCUGAUCAAGGGGUUGGAUUGUAAGGAACUGAGAACAAAUGUCUUUCUUUUCACUUUUAGGCAGGCGUCAGGAUGGAGGAGAGCUCUCGAGGAGGGGCCAUGGUGGUUUGAUAAGGAACUACUAGUGUUGGAGGAAUUUGAUCCAGAGAAGACGAUCGAUGAAUAUGAAUUCAAUUUGAUACCCAUGUGGUUUAGGGUUUUUGGUCUACCGCUGGGCUAUAUGAACAGAGCCACAGGGGAGAAUAUUGGGGCGAAUUUCCAUGAACUAAUAGAGGUGGAUCUCGGGCGGGAUGGGAAGGUUGUAGGGAAAUCCCUCCGUGUGAAGGUCAAGCUAGACAUAACAGAACCGAUGGUGCGGGGAUUUGUCUUGGAAAGGGAAAAGAGGAAGGGAGGAACCGGGGAAGGGAUGGUGGAGGAGGAGGAUGCAGCUAAGAUGAUGAAGAAAAAGGAAUUGCUAUGGUGCUGCUUUGAGUAUGAACAUUUGCCAGACUUCUGUUAUACAUGUGGGGUCAUCGGGCGUGGCGAGAAGGUGUGUAAUAUGAAGCCGAUGCCAGGGGAGGCGCCUCAAUAUGGGGCAUGGAUGCGAGCUGAGGAUUCAAGGAAAAGGGGCGAGGAAGGGGGAAGAGCAAAGUGGCAGGGCAGUGCUACCUCUUGA
RNAcentral lists this ribosomal RNA (849 nucleotides) under Triticum aestivum (bread wheat). RNAcentral's name for it is "partial small subunit ribosomal RNA". The record is from RNAcentral. Lineage: Eukaryota; Viridiplantae; Streptophyta; Magnoliopsida; Poales; Poaceae.